AUGCAACCAUCUAAGCUUCAUCUUCCAAGAGUUAUCCUACUUGCCCAGCAAUGCUCUGCCCAAGUGAAUGUAAAAACUACAAAGUGCAUCGACAAGAUCAAUAAGUCUAGAUGGAGCUCAAGUCUCCUCAACAAUGACAAUCUUAGGUUUCUUUAUUGCAUUUUCAUUUGUAUCUUGCUUGAUUGUUUAAACAUUGUCUGCAUGUAG
Vicia faba (fava bean) is the source of this 207-nucleotide non-coding RNA. The record is from the annotation of a GenBank genome assembly. NCBI's taxonomy places the organism in Eukaryota, Viridiplantae, Streptophyta, Magnoliopsida, Fabales, Fabaceae.